GACGAACGCUGGCGGCGUGCCUAAUACAUGCAAGUCGAGCGAGCUGAAUUCAAAGAUUCCUUCGGGAUGAUUUGUUGGACGCUAGCGGCGGAUGGGUGAGUAACACGUGGGCAAUCUGCCCUAAGACUGGGAGUACCACUUGGAACAGGUGCUAAUACCGGAUAACAACAUGGAUCGCAUGAUUCAAGUUUGUAAAGGACGGCGUAAGCUGUCACUUUAGGAUGAGCCCGCGGCGCAUUAGCUAGUUGGUGGGGUAAAGGGCCGUACCAACGGCGAUGAUGCGUAGCCGAGUUGAGAGACUGAUCGGCCACAUUGGGACUGAGACACGGCCC
RNAcentral lists this ribosomal RNA (332 nucleotides) under uncultured bacterium. RNAcentral's name for it is "bacterial SSU rRNA". It matches the Rfam family "Bacterial small subunit ribosomal RNA", at positions 28 to 332 of the family's 1533-position model. The record is from RNAcentral.